UACGUAGGGUGCAAGCGUUAAUCGGAAUUACUGGGCGUAAAGCGUGCGCAGGCGGUUCGUUAAGACAGAUGUGAAAUCCCCGGGCUUAACCUGGGAACUGCAUUUGUGACUGGCGGACUGGAGUAUGGCAGAGGGGGGUAGAAUUCCACGUGUAGCAGUGAAAUGCGUAGAGAUGUGGAGGAACACCGAUGGCGAAGGCAGCCCCCUGGGUCAAGAUUGACGCUCAUGCACGAAAGCGUGGGGAGCAAACAGG
This 253-nucleotide ribosomal RNA is filed under the name uncultured bacterium. RNAcentral describes it as "partial 16S ribosomal RNA". It matches the Rfam family "Bacterial small subunit ribosomal RNA", at positions 524 to 776 of the family's 1533-position model. The record is from RNAcentral.